UGGUAAAAAUUUCAUCCAUUGGUGCUGUUAAAAACCGGUGUAGCUAACGGAAUAACCAAACAGUGACAGAUGGUGUGCGACGUGUACCUCAUGCUAAUAUACAAAAACUAGUUUUUAACCGUAGAAAUAGAUUAAAUUUUUAACA
This is a microRNA precursor of Gossypium arboreum, 145 nucleotides long. It matches the Rfam family "MIR7502 microRNA precursor family". The record is from Rfam. NCBI's taxonomy places the organism in Eukaryota, Viridiplantae, Streptophyta, Magnoliopsida, Malvales, Malvaceae.